GAUGAACGCUAGCGGCAGGCCUAACACAUGCAAGUCGAGGGGCAGCACAGAAACAGCAAUGUUUUGGUGGCGACCGGCGGACGGGUGCGUAACGCGUAUGCAACCUACCUUUAACAGGGGGAUAACGGAGAGAAAUUUCCACUAAUACCCCAUAACAUCGAUCAAGGCAUCUUGAUUGGUUGAAAACUCCGGUGGUUAAAGAUGGGCAUGCGUUGUAUUAGGUAGUUGGUGAGGUAAUGGCUCACCAAGCCUACGAUACAUAGGGGGACUGAGAGGUUAGCCCCCCACACUGGUACUAAGACACGGACCAGACUCCUACGGGAGGAAGCAGUGAGGAAUAUUGGUCAAUGGGGGCAACCCUGAACCAGCCAUGCCGCGUGCAGGAAGACGGCUCUAUGAGUUGUAAACUGCUUUUAAACAGGGAUAAAGCACAGUAUGUAUACUGUGUUGAAGGUACUGUAAGAAUAAGGAUCGGCUAGCUCCGUGCCAGCCGCCGCAGUAA
Molecule: ribosomal RNA, 502 nt
Filed under: uncultured bacterium
Lineage: Bacteria
Description: partial 16S ribosomal RNA
Rfam family: Bacterial small subunit ribosomal RNA
Source: RNAcentral